Molecule: RNase P RNA, 374 nt
Filed under: Clostridia bacterium
Lineage: Bacteria; Bacillati; Bacillota; Clostridia
Description: RNase P RNA component class A
Rfam family: Bacterial RNase P class A
About the family: Ribonuclease P (RNase P) is a ubiquitous endoribonuclease, found in archaea, bacteria and eukarya as well as chloroplasts and mitochondria.
Source: RNAcentral
AGACUGGAUCGGGCAAUCGCGCGGUAACAUGCCGAAAGGUCUUACCGUGAGGAAAGUCCGGGCUCCGCGGAGCAGAAUAACGGAUAACAUCCGCCAGGGGCGACCCUCGGAAAAGGGCAACAGAAAUAUACCGCCGUGAAAACGGUAAGGAUGGAAAGGCGAGGUAAGAGCUCACCCACUUCUACGGUAACGUAGAUUUGCUGUAAACUCUAUUCGGAGCAACACCUUAAAGCACCCCUCGGGGCAGGCGCUCCGCCUGAUUUGCUUGUGGUGGCAGAGCCGUAAGGCUUGAACGCGUCGGCAACGGCGCGUGAAGAUAGAUGAUUGCCGCGCCCAACGGCGCACAGAACCCGGCUUACAGAUCCAGUCCCCGU